Molecule: ribosomal RNA, 462 nt
Filed under: uncultured bacterium
Lineage: Bacteria
Description: partial 16S ribosomal RNA
Rfam family: Bacterial small subunit ribosomal RNA
Source: RNAcentral
GACGAACGCUGGCGGCGUGCUUAACACAUGCAAGUCGAACGGAAAGGCCCUUCGGGGUACUCGAGUGGCGAACGGGUGAGUAACACGUGGGUGAUCUGCCCUGCACUUUGGGAUAAGCCUGGGAAACUGGGUCUAAUACCGGAUAGGGCCACGGCAUUCAUGUGCUGUGGUGGAAAGCUUUUGCGGUGUGGGAUGGGCCCGCGGCCUAUCAGCUUGUUGGUGGGGUAAUGGCCUACCAAGGCGACGACGGGUAGCCGGCCUGAGAGGGUGACCGGCCACACUGGGACUGAGAUACGGCCCAGACUCCUACGGGAGGCAGCAGUGGGGAAUAUUGCACAAUGGGCGCAAGCCUGAUGCAGCGACGCCGCGUGAGGGAUGACGGCCUUCGGGUUGUAAACCUCUUUCGCCAGGGACGAAGCGCAAGUGACGGUACCUGGAGAAGAAGGACCGGCCAACUACGUG